This 497-nucleotide ribosomal RNA is filed under the name uncultured bacterium. Its description in RNAcentral is "bacterial SSU rRNA". It matches the Rfam family "Bacterial small subunit ribosomal RNA", at positions 28 to 517 of the family's 1533-position model. The record is from RNAcentral.
GAUGAACGCUAGCGACAGGCCUAACACAUGCAAGUCGAGGGGCAGCACAUGAGUAGCAAUACGAUGGUGGCGACCGGCGCACGGGUGAGUAACACGUAUGCAACCUGCCUGUAAGAGGGGGAUAACCCGGAGAAAUUCGGACUAAUACCGCAUAAUACCACGAGACUGCAUGGUUUUGUGGUUAAACAUUUAUGGCUUACAGAUGGGCAUGCGUAUGAUUAGAUAGUUGGUAGGGUAAUGGCCUACCAAGUCUACGAUCAUUAGGGGUUCUGAGAGGAAGGUCCCCCACACUGGUACUGAGACACGGACCAGACUCCUACGGGAGGCAGCAGUGAGGAAUAUUGGUCAAUGGGCGAGAGCCUGAACCAGCCAAGUCGCGUGAAGGAAGAAGGUUCUAUGGAUUGUAAACUUCUUUUGCAGGGGAAUAAAGGACGGUACGUGUACUGUUUUGUAUGUACCUUGCGAAUAAGGAUCGGCUAACUCCGUGCCAGCAGCCG